This 210-nucleotide ribosomal RNA is filed under the name uncultured bacterium. RNAcentral's name for it is "partial 16S ribosomal RNA". It matches the Rfam family "Bacterial small subunit ribosomal RNA", at positions 524 to 732 of the family's 1533-position model. The record is from RNAcentral.
UACGGAGGAUCCAAGCGUUAUCCGGAUUCAUUGGGUUUAAAGGGUGCGUAGGCGGAAUGAUAAGUCAGUGGUGAAAGCCUGCAGCUUAACUGCAGAACUGCCAUUGAUACUGUCAAUCUUGAGUACAUUUUGAUGUGGGCGGAAUGUGUCAUGUAGCGGUGAAAUGCUUAGAUAUGACACAGAACACCGAUUGCGAAGGCAGCUCACAAA